RNAcentral lists this ribosomal RNA (253 nucleotides) under uncultured bacterium. Its description in RNAcentral is "partial 16S ribosomal RNA". It matches the Rfam family "Bacterial small subunit ribosomal RNA", at positions 524 to 776 of the family's 1533-position model. The record is from RNAcentral.
UACGAAGGGUGCAAGCGUUAAUCGGAAUUACUGGGCGUAAAGCGUGCGUAGGUGGGUUGUUAAGUCUGAUGUGAAAGCCCCGGGCUCAACCUGGGAACUGCAUUGGAUACUGGCUUACUAGAGUGCGGUAGAGGGUAGCGGAAUUUCCGGUGUAGCGGUGAAAUGCGUAGAGAUCUGAAGGAACAUCCGUGGCGAAGGCGGCUACCUGGACCAGCACUGACACUGCGGCACGAAAGCGUGGGGAGCAAACAGG